RNAcentral lists this ribosomal RNA (236 nucleotides) under uncultured bacterium. RNAcentral describes it as "partial 16S ribosomal RNA". It matches the Rfam family "Bacterial small subunit ribosomal RNA", at positions 99 to 334 of the family's 1533-position model. The record is from RNAcentral.
CGCACGGGUGAGUAACACGUAUCCAACCUGCCGUCUACUCUUGGCCAGCCUUCUGAAGGAAGAUUAAUCCAGGAUGGCAUCAUGAGUUCACAUGUCCGCAUGAUUAAAGGUAUUUUCCGGUAGACGAUGGGGAUGCGUUCCAUUAGAUAGUAGGCGGGGUAACGGCCCACCUAGUCAACGAUGGAUAGGGGUUCUGAGAGGAAGGUCCCCCACAUUGGAACUGAGACACGGUCCAA